RNAcentral lists this long non-coding RNA (9987 nucleotides) under Homo sapiens (human). Its description in RNAcentral is "HSALNT0227255". Lineage: Eukaryota; Metazoa; Chordata; Mammalia; Primates; Hominidae. The record is from RNAcentral.
AAAAAAAAAAAAAAAAGCUGGGACAGGCUAAAAGCUAGGCUCCUGCACCAACUAGCCAAGUUGUGAAUGUGAUGAAAAAGUUAUUAAAGGAAAGUAAAAGUGCUACUCCCUUGAACACACUACUAAUAAGUAAAAGAGCCUUGUUGCUGGUGUGGAGUAUUAGUGGUUUAGAUGGAAGAUCAAACCAGCCACAACAUUCUCUUAAGCCAAAGCCUAAUCCAGAUCAAGACUUUAAUCCUCUUGAAUUCUAUGGAGGCAGAGAGAGGUGGGAAAACUGACAAAAAAAAAGUGUGAAGCUAGCAGAGGUUGGUUCAUGAGGUUGAAGGCAAGGAGGAGUAUCUGUAACAUGCAAGUGGAAGGUGAAAUGGCAAGUGCUGAUGGAGAAGCUGCAGCAACUUACCCUGAAAAUCUAGCUAAGAUCACUGACGAAGGUGGCUACACUAAAUGACAGAUUUUCAGUGUAGACAAAACAGUCUUCUCUUGGAAGAAGAUGGUAUCUAUAACUUUCAUAGAAAGAAGUCAACACCUGGCUUUAAAGCUUCAAAGGACAAGCUGACGCUCUUAUUAGGGGCUAAUACAGCUGGUAACUUUAAAUUGAAAGCAAGGCUCAUUUACCAUUUUGAAUCUCCUAGGGCCCUUAAGAAUAACUCUAAAUCUACUCUGCCUAUGCUCUAGAAAUGAAACAGGACAUCUGUUUAUAGCAUGGUUUGCUGAAUAUUUUAAGCCCACUAUUAACACCUACUAUUCAGAAAAAAGGAUUCCUUUAAAAAUAUUACUGCUCAUUGACAACACAUCUGGUCACCGGAAAGCUCUGAUGGAGAAGCACAAGGACAUAAGUGUUCUGUUCGUGCCUGUUAAUGCAAUAUAGGUUCCUGCAGCCAAUGGAUCAAGGAAUAAUUUUGAUUUCCAGUCUUAUUAUUUAGGAAAUAUAUCUCAUAAGGUUAUAGCUGCCAUAAACACGGAUUCUUCUGAUGGUUCUGGGCAAAGUACACUGAAAUAUUCUAAAAAAUAUUCGCUUUUGAGAUGCCAUUAAGAACAUUCAAGAUUCAUGGAAGGAGGUCAAAAUAGCAACAUUAACAGGAGUUUGGAAUAAGUUGAUUCCAACUCUCAAGAAUGAUUUUGAAGGGUUCAAGACUUCAGUGGAGGAAGAACCUGGAAAUGUGGAGGAAAUAGCUAAAGAACUAGAAUUACAAGUGGAGCCUGAAGAGGCAACUACAUUGCUGCAAUCUCGUGAUAAAACUUUAACAGAUGAGGAGUUUCUUCUUAUGGAUCAGCAGAAAAAGUGGUUCCUUGAGAUGGAAUCUACAUCUAGUAAAGAUACUAUGAUCCUUGUUGCAAUGACAACAAAGAAUGUAGAAUAUUACAUACACUUAGUUGAUUAAGCAGUAGCAAAGUUUGAAAGGAUUCACUCCAAUUCUGAAAGAAGUUCUACGUUAGGUAAAAUGCUGUCAAACAGCAUCAGGUGCUGCAGAGAAGUAUUUCAUGAAAGGAAGAAUCAAUCCAUGUGAUAAACUUCACUGUUUCCUCAUUUUAAGAGAUUGCCACAGUCACCCCAACCUUCAGCAACUACCACAACUACCACCCUGACCAGUACAAAGCCAUCAACACCGAGGCAAGACCCUCCACCAGCAAAAAGAUUAGAACUCAUUAAAGGCUCAGAUGAUUGUUGGCAUUUUUAUUUUAGCAAUAAAGUCUUUUUAAAUUAAGGUAUGCACGUCGUUUUUUAGAUACAAUGCUAUUGCACACUUAAUAGACUACAGUAUGGUACAAAAGCACAGCUUUUAUAUGCGCUGGGAAACAAAAAAUAGUGUGACUCCCUCUAUUAUGAUAUUUACUGUAUUGCAGUGGCUUGUAACUGAACCUACAGUAUCUCCAAGGUGUGCCUGUACAUCUAUAGGUCUUGCUUUAAGUGUACAAGAUGUGUAUUUACUAUUUUUUUAAAGUGUAUGUGUAUGUCUCUACGGAUAUUUGUAGACACACACCCCUGGAAGAAAUCAUACAAAAUGGGUAGUAUUUGCUAGUGAGAUUAUAGGUGCUUAUUAUUUUCUUCUUUGUCAUUUCCUGUAUUUCUCUAUUUUUCAAACAGAUGUAAAUAUAAGAAAAGGGUGGCGUCCCUGGCCAUGUGAGUGUCGAUGACUGACAUUGUACCAAUAACAUUUUUUUUCACCUGGGAACUGCCUGUUCUCUUCAAACGCUGGAUGAUAAAACCUUCAAAAAGAAAAGCAUCAAGGUUUGGUUUAUGCCCACCUAACAUUUCUGGAAAACUCCAGCAUCUAAUUGCUUCUUCAUAGGGGGAAAAAAAGACGUUAAGCCUCAAUGCACUAAAGAUUUUUAUAAAAAUCAAUCUUAUCCUUGAAGUAAAAUGCGACGUAGAUUAUCCUUUCUGCUAGAAGUUAUGGUAAUGACCUAUUGAAAUAUUCCUCACAAUACAGUAAUAUUACUUCUUUACCAGUUUGAAAAUAUUUUCCUGUAGAAAAGCACAAAGCAAGCUCCACCUAAAAAAAUAAAAUUACAUAGCAACCACAUUGAAAGUUUGCAGGAUUAGAACACUAGGACCUACUGAUUUUCUUUGUCCUGACACCUAAUAAUCCAGUUACAUUAAGAAAGGUGAGCUUAAUGAAGCAUAUUGAGAUGGGAGAACAUACGAUUUAUAGUGGACUUGUGGUUACAUUUCUAAAUGAAUCCCAUUAGCUCUAUAUUGGUUGCUGGUAAGUGACCACGUUUUCUAAUAGACAAAUGCAUGAAUCACCUGGGCAUAUUUUCCAAGCAUUGUCUACAAAAUGGUUCACCUUACAAAUUUAAACAAAGACCAGGUGAAUGACCCUCAUUCCUGAAGCGUAGCAGACUUCCUUUAAGCAAGAAACAGAAUUAUUGCAACCGAAUAUCCAUUCCAUCUCCUUAUAACUUAGCAUGCACAUAUAGCCUCAUCCUUGAGAUGGCAGGAAUCAAGCACACUGCUGACAGGAAUAUUCUUCUAAUAGUAUUACAACCAACAUUGUUUUCAAUGUGUUUUAUAAUUAUAAAACCUAUGAGUGUUUAUUGUGGAAAGUUUAGGAAAUUUCAAAAAGCACCAGAAAAGCUAACAUUAUUUCACCACCCAAAGAGAGCUCCAAGUACUAUUUUGUUGGAAGUCUAUCCACUUCAGACAUUUUCUACUGCAUAUAGAACUAAAACAUUAUAAGCACACAAUUGGGAUGUUACUGUAUAAGCUGCCUUCAUCUUUUGCACUUUGCAAUGUAUCAUGAACACUUUGUGCUGUAAGGACAAAAAAUGUACAAGGUCAGUUUAUGUAUUCCACUCUAAUGCUACACACUUUCUCUUUAUGUUAAAUAACACUGCAGUGAACAUCACUUCCUGAUGUUAUGAUAUUUUUCUCUGUGCCUUAUCUCAGGGUAGAUACCUAAAAGUGAAACCGAUGAGUCAAAAAAGUGGGCACCGUAUUUAAGUUUUUAGAUCUAAGGAACCAGAAUUCUAGAAGCUUACAUGAAUCCAUAUUCCCAGCAGCAGUAUGAAAGGGAACUCAUCUCACCACUGAGAACAAUUUUUGGCCAACUUCUUUCUCUUUCAAUAACCGUUUCCCUGGCUGGGUUCCCUCGCCUAUCCACCUGCCCCACUUGGGGCACCACACCAUCCCAUGCUAAAGUAGCAUAGAACAGCCCAGACAUAGAAAACAAAGGUGGUGAUGAGGAGCAAUUUAAAUCUAAGCUUAUUUAACAUAAGUGGCUGGUGGCUGCCCAUUUUGUCUUAAUUGCCUUUUAAACUAAAAUCAAUGUUAAAUUACCUGAACAACAGCUUCUGCACAAUUGCAAAGUGAAAAUUCUUUAAGUGCCUCCUCAAAAGCCUUUGGCUCCCGUUUGGGCGACUGACAGGAAAAGAGUCUUUUUCCUCUUCACUGUGUUAUAGCUUUGGACCACGGGAUAUGAUUAAAGGGUCCUGAAAACAGAUGUCACGUCCGCUCUGGGAUGAAUUACUAUUCCCUCACAUCGAAAUGGGAUUAAAGUGUUCGAAAUAGAAUCUGGAUAAUAAAAACUGGAUAAUAGUACUAUGAUGUCCCCAUCCUUUUCCCUCCCUUCUUUCCUUCCUUUUUAAUUUUCCCUCCCAUCAAGGAUAGACUGCAUACACAAAUGGACACUGGCAAGACCAUAUAGAAAAAGAGAAAUCUGACCCACAGUUUGCAGUAACCAGCCCAGGAAACCAGCUUAUUGUCUACAGGAAGCCAGCCUGCUAUCCACAAGUCACGAUUCAAGGAAGUCAGAUUACUAUCUCUAGUAACUGGUCCAGGAAGCCAAACAAAAAUCCACUGGCUCAGAAACAAUCAGGACUAGAUUCGUAACUGACAGCUUUCCUAAUUUUUGUCCACACCUCCAACUUCGGACCAAUCAGAGAAAGCCAAGUGUGCACCUUAACCGAUCACAAGGAACACCCCUUUCUACUUAGCCCAUCUGCAGCUUCCCCACGCAAACAGCCUCUAGCCAGGCCAUAUCUGAAGCUGUCCCUUUAUUUAUCUACUAUAAAAUUUUCCUACUCCUCUGCCUGCCUUUGAGUUUCUGGCAAAAUGCAAGUGAGGAUGUCUGACUCCUUGCUAUAGCAAGCUCUGAAUAAAUAGCCUCUGUUUAUUUUUAUUUGGUUGGUCUUUAUUUCUUCAAUAAAGACCAACCAAAUAAAAAUAACAGAAGCUAUGUUUUUUGUCAACAGGAUUAACAAAACAAGAGCCCUCAUGUAGCUUAUGUUCUAGUGAGGGAGACAGAUAAGAAACAAGGAGAUGACAGAUUUUUGCAACUGUUGGGUGGGAAAUAGCCUUGUGAUGAAAUGGGGGUGAGUCAGUGGAGAUACAUACCUUCGAUAAGAUGCUAGGGUUGUCAGCAUCCAUUAUUGCAUGAACUGACUCCUUUCUUUUGUUUCGUUCAAGGAUUAAUUGAGCACUUGCUGUCUGAUUUGUACUACAGAACUACAAAAAUGAGACAGACAUGUACCCUGCCAACAAAAAGCCUCGGAGGGUGAUCCAUGUUCACUAAUCACCAGAAAACAAAAUAGAUAAGUAGGCAGGGCUAGAAAACAAAGAUUCAGGAUAAGAGCUGUGAGAGCCAAGAGUCAGGAGGUAAAUUUUAUUUCCAUGUGUUGCAGGGCAUCCUGGGGUCCCCGGGCAGAAGACUAGGGGUACAUAGGGAGAGGUACAUAGGUAAUCAUGGGUGUUCCUCUCUGUUAUACCAGCAUACAUCUUGUAAAGGUGGAAGAGUUUCACCUGGAGAUAUCCCUAUAUGAUCAUGCUAUCUUCCUUACAACAAUUCUUCCUUGAGGGUCCUAAAUAAGAAACUGGGCCGGGCACAGUGGUUUACGCCUAUAAUCCCAGCACUUUGGGAGGCCGAGGUGGGUGGAUCAAAUAAGGUUGGGAGUUCGAGACCAGCCUGGACAACACGGUAAAACCCCAUCUCUACUAAAAACACAAAAAAAACAGCUGGGCAUGGUGGCGCACGCCUGUAAUCCCAACUACUCAGGAGGCUGAGACAGGAGAAUCACUUGAACCGGGAGGCGGAGGUUGCAGUGAGCCAAGAUUGCGCCACUGCACUCCAGCCUGGGCAACAAAGUGAGAUUCCAUUGAAAAAAAAAAAAGAAAGAAAGAAAAAAGAAAGAAGCUGGGCAGAGUUUGGAGAAUAAGAGAAUAAAAUGUCAUCAGAGAGAUGAUGACUCACACUUUCCCCAAAUCCCUUCACUCCACAGAUGUCAGCAGUAUGUCACCUCCCAAAGGAAACAACAGGAUGCAACAAGACCCCCAAUAGCAAUGACUGGAUUUGACUUGGGCCAAGUGCAGAAAUAGGGUCAACAUCUCACAUGCUUGGGGGCAUCCCUGACUCAGGGUUUACAGGAUGGGAAGGAAGCCAUCUUCUAGGGAUGGCUCUUGGGAUGUGCAGCCAGCAUCUCCACCACGUGUACCAUAGAGAUACCAAUCAUUUCUCCCUAACGCUGCAGGGUUUCUUAGAGACACUGCUUCUCUCACAGCCUGGCCUUCAUCGGUCCCUUGUCCAGGGACCUGGGUCAGACACAUGCCCCUACCUGGUCAAAUCAGAUUCUCUCCAAGAAAUGUGGAAUUGAGAAGUGGAUGGAAUGGUUAAGCUCAAGGGCUAGGCUGGGAAGAUCAGGUAAAUUUGUCGGUAGAGUCUGAUGACUAGUCAGCGAAACAGUAUAUAGAGAAAGAAUGGGGGGUGAUGGGAAAAGAACUCAGAGGAAUAGAGGUGGAGAGACAAGGAGAUAAAGAGAAAUCAGGAGUCUGUUUGGCCCCAGAGCCAGACAGAGACGGGGGAAGUUGUUGCCUUGGCUGCUGAAAGCUUUCUUCCUUCAUUCUAUUUCCCUUCCCUUUCCCUAUGUGCUUCUGAUGCAAGUCGACUUCCUGUGAAGUCCCAACCACACUCUGCAUCCCUGCUAGAAUCUCCAGACACAGCUGGGAUUGCACAAGACAUGGCCAGCCUGCAAAGGAGUCUCCAGAUCCCUUUGCCUUGAAGAAAAGCAAAAUACCCCAAUGCUGAGAUGAAUAAACCUCUUCCCUGUGGCUCAUGGUCUUUCAUGAAGCAUAGCUGGUGGGCCAGCCUGUCAGAAAUACAAUCCCAAUACUGAGAGCUAACAGAAAUACAAAUUCUCUGCCACUAGAGGUUUUUUUUUUUUUUUUCCAAUUAUAAGCAUAAAGAUAUCUUCCUACCUGAGAAUGUCACAGAAAUAUAAUUGAUGGAGUCAUUCUUUUAACAUUACUUACAUGAAUGCCCAUUGCAUUCCAGAACUCUUUUAGGCCUGGAGAAUGCAAAGUAGAAUACGUUUACUGGAGAAGGAAAAUAACAAACAAGUAUUAUAAUAGAAACUAGUAGUAUAAUUAUCGUACUAGAUGACAGAAUGGAAUAAAUUGUGCUAUGCAUCUACUUGGUAGAGGAUGCCUCUUGUUCUAACUAAAGGCAAAGGGCAUCUUUCAGAGAAUUCAAAAGGUGAUGAUGCUUGAGUUGGAUCUCCAAGGAUGCAUAGCAGGUUGUUCGAUAGUCAGGGGAGAAAGGCAUUCAAACCAUAGGAAACAGCUUAUGCAAAGGUGCAGAGAUGUGACUGGGUGAACUGAUGGAAAGGGUUGAUGUCUGAAGACCAGGCAGGGAAAGGGGGCACAGGUAAGAUGAUAAAGGGGCCCAUGUGUCAUGCCAAGAAAUUUAGAUUUAAUUCCUCUAUAAGAAAAUGGAACAGUCAUUGCUAGGAAGGCUACCCUCGUGUGUGCAGAAAGGAACACUGGAAGCAGGAAGAGCCUCUGGAAGAUUAUUUUAUUGUAUCUUAGCCUAAAAGAUGAUGAGGGUUUGCACAAAGACACAGCAGUAACGGUAUAAUGGAAAAGAGGAUUUGGUAAAUAUUUGAUAAAUAGAAUUGACAAGACUCACUGAAAGAAACACUAGAAGACAUGUAUAACUGGAGGUGUUAAAAAAAGGAUAAAAACAAGUGUAAAAGAAGCCAAAAAGUCAAGGCCAACUCCUAGAUCACUGUUACAAGUUAUUGACUAAAUGGUGGUAUCGAUGACCAGGUUCAGGGGCAUCAGACAAAUACCUGGGAAAGAUAAGAGGCUCAUUUUGACCACAUCAAGUUGGGUAGGGGCUAUGGAAGCUCCAGAAAGAGUUACACAAGAGGCAACUGGAUAGAUAUGUGUUCUACUUGGAGGAGUGGCUAAAGGCCAACUGGAAUUCAUGCACAUAGAGAGCUGAAGGUCAUCUUGGAAGAAUAGAAAGACUGACAUAUUUGCACUAUUCAUGUCCAAGCCAACAUAGGAGAAUGCAGUUGCUAAUCAACUUUUAAAACUCAUUUGAAUAAAGGCACUGAUGAUAAAACUGUGCCAUCAGUAAGCUUUCAUAUAUCAAUAUAGUCACACAUUUAAUAUCCAUGACUAGUUUAUACCUACGAAAAUGAAUUGAGAUGGUCAAAUUCCAGCAAUAACAAACUGUUACUGUAAAAAUGCCUGGAUCAAAUGUUACUUGUUAAACCUACUCACCUUCCACCUAUCCAGACAGGACAUAAAGGGACAUAUUCUCUAAGACAAACAGCCAGCCCUACCUGGAUGCAGGAAUUUCAACUAGAGGCAGUAUCUAAAUCUGGUUUCUAUAUACUCUAUUUUAAAUGAAUGAGGAUACAGUGGCAAAGCAUUCUGGUUAAAGAAAUGUCUAUCAGGCACAAAGUAGAUACUUAAUGACUGUUUGAUAACUAUGAAUUAAGUUUGAAUAGGACACUGGAUUACUUUGUUGUCUAGAAUGAGAGCUCAGUUAACAUCAUAAACUCUUUAUCACCAGUAAGAUGGCAGUUCUUUACCUGCUUACAGAUUGGUCAACAUGAAAUACAAUAUAGGAUUGUAAGGUUCAAAUCUACUGCCCUAUAGGUCUUGAAGGGAACUGUAGGAUUCCUAACUCCCACUUAGUGAGCCCGUGAGAUAAGAUGGUACUCUUGGAUACAGAGAUGCUUAAAUAUUCCUUUUGCAGGAAGCUCAAAGUUCCGAUUCUGAGAAUCACUUUUUAAUCUUACUCAAGUUACAUGCAUUCAACUAAAACAUGAGGAGGUAAGAAAACAGGAGGAGGAAAAAAUGUGAACGUUGCCAGUGAUUCCACCGGCUAUCAAAGCAGUGAGCAAGCCUAACACAGGAGAUGUGAACAUGCAUUUGUUCUUGAGUGCUGAGAUACCUCCGAGCAUUUGCAUCUCGUCUCACCCCGUAUUUGUCUUGUUUUCAAAGCUAACUCUUUUUCGCAUAGUGCACGUGGCCCUUAAAAUCACGCCAAUUCCUCAUCUGGUGCUCAAUCAACGAAGGAAAUCCAGCUCAGACCUGGAGAAAACUUGUCUAUGUGGGUCUCUUAAAGAAAUGAUAGGGUAGGCUUCAACUGGAGACUUUCCAGAGGGAUUGUCAGUGGGAUCAUUUGAAUCCCAUACCUUGGUUGUAACUUGAGAAAGUCACUGGCUUGUGAGAGGCAACAAUUUCAGUACUCUUAUUAGGUUUGGCAGCAUUACAUUAUUUUCCCUCUACUUCUCUAUAUUUUACUCUGCACUUUCUUUUUUCUUGACUCUAUUUUCUUUUCUACCAGGAUCUCUUCAAUAUUCUUUUGACAGAACUCCAAUGGUUCAGGUUGUAAUGCAGCAUCAUAUACUCUCUGUCUGAAGUUCUUGUUGCUUGUGUACUAAGAAAAGACCUUCCCAGGGGUCAAAGAAAAAAAUGCCUUGACCACUUCCAAUGCCUGGGGCUUCUGGUUCCUAAGAAAAGAGAAUUUUAGCCAACAGAAAGUACCAAAAUGAAAGAAAUACGUGCCAAAUGUUUCUUAUAGCAAUGCUUAUUUUGGCAGAAGAAAAAAAUACACAAAUCCAACGAAGAAUUAAUCUAAAGAACAUCAGUGGAAGGAUGGCUGAACAAAUAGUGACGCAUCCAUACUAUGGAAUACUAUGCAGAUAUGUAAAAGGAAAAGAUGCAUCGUGUGAAACAUUCAACAUACAAGCCCCUGGCAUUAAUCCAGUCAAAGCUUGCCCCACCAAAAGCUAAUACAGGCUGUUUAACAAAGCAUAAUUAAAUGUACUGAACAAUGAAAAUAUCCAUAUAAUUACCACAAAGCUGAUAUAAUUGCAUAUGUCCUUUUAUUGGAUGAUAUUACUGUCCCUACAUAAGCACAAAGAUAGCUUAAACAGAACAGCCCUCCAUUCUCUUCAGUUCACCUAAAAUUAUCCCAUUAAUCUGCAGAUUGCCACUGAGAAAAAAAAUAAUCUUCCAUUAAAGAUUUCUGUCAAAACAAAAUCAUGUUAUCCCUAUGGGGAGACAUAAGCCAUUCUUAGUUUGAACAAAAAAGACAAAGUUAAAAUUCCACAUCACAAUAAAACAUUUCUGUUUUAUCCAGCCACACAAGUGUUAUGGUUGGAUUAGUUGAUAUGACAUUGUUUAAUGUGAAGAAAUACAAAACAAGUAAAAUUAGCCUGAAAGAUCAUGGAUGGGAAUAUAGUUAAAUAAAU